RNAcentral lists this ribosomal RNA (468 nucleotides) under uncultured bacterium. Its description in RNAcentral is "partial 16S ribosomal RNA". It matches the Rfam family "Bacterial small subunit ribosomal RNA", at positions 28 to 507 of the family's 1533-position model. The record is from RNAcentral.
GACGAACGCUGGCGGCGUGCUUAACACAUGCAAGUCGAACGGAAAGGCCCUGCUCUUGUGGGGUGCUCGAGUGGCGAACGGGUGAGUAACACGUGAGUAACCUGCCCUUGACUUUGGGAUAACUUUAGGAAACUGGGGCUAAUAUCGGAUAGGAGCUCUUGCUGCAUGGUGGGGGUUGGAAAGUUUCGGCGGUUGGGGAUGGACUCGCGGCUUAUCAGCUUGUUGGUGGGGUAGUGGCUUACCAAGGCUUUGACGGGUAGCCGGCCUGAGAGGGUGACCGGCCACAUUGGGACUGAGGUACGGCCCAGACUCCUACGGGAGGCAGCAGUGGGGAAUAUUGCGCAAUGGGCGGAAGCCUGAUGCAGCAACGCCGCGUGCGGGAUGACGGCCUUCGGGUUGUAAACCGCUUUCGCCUGUGACGAAGCGUGAGUGACGGUAAUGAGUAAAGAAGCACCGGCUAACUACGUG